AGAUUGAACGCUGGCGGCAUGCUUUACACAUGCAAGUCGAACGGCAGCACGGGGGCAACCCUGGUGGCGAGUGGCGAACGGGUGAGUAAUAUAUCGGAACGUACCCGGAAAUGGGGGAUAACGUAGCGAAAGUUACGCUAAUACCGCAUAU
This 151-nucleotide ribosomal RNA is filed under the name uncultured soil bacterium. RNAcentral describes it as "partial 16S ribosomal RNA". It matches the Rfam family "Bacterial small subunit ribosomal RNA", at positions 26 to 176 of the family's 1533-position model. The record is from RNAcentral.